AAAUGAACACGAAACCAAAUAUCGUUUAAAUAUUCCGGUCGACAUUUCAGGCAAAUGACUGAAUCAUGCCAAGAAAGAAACAACUGGAAUAUUCUGUUACCAAAACUGAGAAGGAGUUGUGAGCCAAUUGAUUUUACCAGAUAUUCCUGCCAAGCGACUUCUAAAUCAUCGGAGGCCUGGAGUCCGGCAGCCAGUGUCAUCAUCACAAUUACGACGGCGAAGAUUGAACGUAAUUUCAUCUUCCUCAGAUCGCGAGCAGUUCCGCCGGCCUUCUUGCAUUUGCAAAUUUAACCACUGCGGACUGCGGUGGCAUACAAGCUCCUUUAGUAUCUGAUAAACUGUUCCGAAUCAUCUUGUUCGGUCAUUUUCCAAUCGUCUGUCGCCAUCACUUCGCUGGAGAAACUAUGGAAGAAUUCGACCGCAUAGUUCCUCAAAUGAAACGCUGGAUGCCAUUCAUGGAUAUUUAUCCGCAAAUAUUCCAGCGGACAUUUUCCCCAUCACGUUGACUCCGACACUUUUCCCGUGUAAAGGAAACGGAGGAUUUCAUUAAACUCGGCUCCACGUCUUCAAUUUCGACUUGGUGAGUUAAAUUUUCUUUUGUUAGGGGCCGAAACAUUGCGGCAAAAUAUUUACUCGUGGCUAAGAUGCUUUUGUGGGCUUUAAAUUGACAUCCACGGACGUUAAUACUGACGUCGGAAGAUUUCAUAGUUUCAAAGAUUUUUUCCAGUUCGCCAAUUAGUUGAUCACUGUUGCUGAUUGGUUUCUCAUGGAAAUCGUCCUCUGAAGACAACUUGCCUGAUAGAUAGUAUAUUAUAGGUUUCUUUGGAAUGAAAGUUUCGAUCGCACAGUAAAUGGUAAGCUUCCGUUCAUUAAACGUACCCAGAAUUCAUCAACAACAUUUUCUGGACUCCACUCCUGCGUAGCACCGAUGAUAAUCAUUUUGACGCUUAUUUGAAUUUUAGUUUUUCUUUAAGAAACCUUUUUUUGCUGCCACUCAACUAGAUAACCUUUCUCUUGUGAUGAACAGGCUAAUGACUGCUUUAAUUCUAAUGCAGAAUUAGAUUGAAUUAACUCUGAUCCCUUAAUUUAUUAGUUUCUUUUAACUUGUUAUUUUAAUAUUAUUCAGAGCAUUUAUG
Long non-coding RNA from Daphnia pulex (common water flea), 1136 nucleotides. RefSeq lists it as uncharacterized. The record is from RefSeq and is a predicted model, not a curated record. NCBI's taxonomy places the organism in Eukaryota, Metazoa, Arthropoda, Branchiopoda, Diplostraca, Daphniidae. The transcript has 4 exons.